RNAcentral lists this ribosomal RNA (274 nucleotides) under uncultured bacterium. Its description in RNAcentral is "partial 16S ribosomal RNA". It matches the Rfam family "Bacterial small subunit ribosomal RNA", at positions 523 to 796 of the family's 1533-position model. The record is from RNAcentral.
AUACGGAGGGUGCAAGCGUUAAUCGGAAUUACAGGGCGUAAAGAGUACGUAGGUGGUUUGUUAAGUCAGAUGUGAAAGCCCCGGGCUCAACCUGGGAACUGCAUUUGAAACUGGCAAACUAGAGUAUGGUAGAGGGGGGUAGAAUUUCUAGUGUAGCGGUGAAAUGCGUAGAUAUUAGAAGGAAUACCAGUGGCGAAGGCGGCCCCCUGGACCAAUACUGACACUGAGGUACGAAAGCGUGGGUAGCGAACAGGAUUAGAUACCCUAGUAGUCC